This is a small nucleolar RNA of Macaca fascicularis (crab-eating macaque), 122 nucleotides long. Lineage: Eukaryota; Metazoa; Chordata; Mammalia; Primates; Cercopithecidae. The record is from Ensembl.
AUUCUUUUGUAGUUCAUGAGCGUAAUGGUUGGGUAUUCACGCAUGUAUGUGAGAUGUGCUACCCUCGAACCUUGUUAAAAGAAAAAACAGCUAAUAUUGUAUUAGUAUAUAUCUGUGUGACU